UACAUAAAAUAAAUUAAAUAUUUAUUUAUAAUUAAUUAAUAUGUAAAUUAAAUUAAUUAAAAAAAAAAUUUAUUUAUGGGGUAAAAUUUAUAAAUUAAUUUAUAAAUUUAAAUUUUUAAUUAUUUAUGAAGUUAAUGAAUUAAAUAGAAUUAAACUA
RNAcentral lists this ribosomal RNA (157 nucleotides) under Pseudostenophylax sp. MT-2021. RNAcentral's name for it is "partial 12S ribosomal RNA". Lineage: Eukaryota; Metazoa; Arthropoda; Insecta; Trichoptera; Limnephilidae. The record is from RNAcentral.